Molecule: ribosomal RNA, 433 nt
Filed under: uncultured bacterium
Lineage: Bacteria
Description: partial 16S ribosomal RNA
Rfam family: Bacterial small subunit ribosomal RNA
Source: RNAcentral
AACGAACGCUGGCGGCAUGCCUAACACAUGCAAGUCGAACGGUACCUUCGUGUCUGGUGUCGCCCGGGUGCGUACCGCGUGGGAACCUGCCCUUAGGUUCGGCAUAACUCCCCGAAAGGGGUGCUAAUCCCGGAUAAUGUCUUCGGACCAAAGCUUUAUCGCAUUUGGAUGGGGCCGCGUUGGAUUGGCUGGUUGGUAGGGUACAAGCCUACCAAGGCGAGGAUCCGUAGCUGGUCGGCGAGGAUGAACAGCCACACUGGGACUGAGACACGGCCCCGACUGGUAGGAGAAGCAGCGGAGGGGAAUAUUGGAGAAUGAGCCAGAGGCUGAUACAGCAAGGGCGCGUGAGUGAUGAAGGGGUUAGGGUUGUAAAGCUGUUGUACCCGGGAUGAUAAUGACGGUACCGGGAGAAUAAGCACCGGCUAACUACGUG